CCUACGGGGGGCAGCAGUCGAGGAUUUUUCUCAAUGGGGGCAACCCUGAAGGAGCGACGCCGCGUGGAGGAUGAAGGGCUUCGGCUUGUAAACUCCUGUCACCGACGAACAAGGCAUCCGGUUGAACAUUCCGGAUGAUUGAUGGUAGUCGGAGAGGAAGGGGCGGCUAACUCUGUGCCAGCAGCCGCGGUGAUACAGAGGCCCCGAGCGUUGUUCGGAUUUACUGGGCGUAAAGGGUGUGUAGGGGGUCGGGUAAGUUUGACGUGAAAGCCCGCUGCUU
RNAcentral lists this ribosomal RNA (280 nucleotides) under uncultured bacterium. RNAcentral describes it as "partial 16S ribosomal RNA". It matches the Rfam family "Bacterial small subunit ribosomal RNA", at positions 338 to 610 of the family's 1533-position model. The record is from RNAcentral.